Molecule: long non-coding RNA, 2296 nt
Organism: Betta splendens (Siamese fighting fish)
Lineage: Eukaryota; Metazoa; Chordata; Actinopteri; Anabantiformes; Osphronemidae
Exons: 3
Source: RefSeq, a predicted model, not a curated record
GCUCCAACAGCUGCUUUUCAGCACGGUCCAGGUCAUGACUCACAGAAGUAAUAAGGCCCGCAGUUGGCUUUGAUCUGCGGCGAGGUUUGCAACAGCGAUGUGAACAACAAUGCCCGUUUUUCCACUGAGACAAAAAAACGACAAAGGAAGCACGGCUGUGGAAAGGUUCACUCAACCCACCCUUUCCUGAGAUGUAAUUAAGGGCAUUUUUUUCUUCCCCAGAAGUGACUCAACUAUUACACCUGGAUGAGGCACCCAUCUUCCUUCAAUCAAGCAAAAGCAGACCAGAUAGAGAGGAUGACACAGGGAGAGGCAGAGCGACAGAGGCACCAGACAGACUCCGGGAGCCCAGCGGAGUCAGUUACAUUGUUGCCAGCUCGCCUAUCUGAUCACAGCGCACUGCCUCGUCUCUUUCAUGUAAAACAACCACUGUUUUUGACAACGCAUUUGUUAAAAGCCGCCCAAGAAACACGCAGAGCACAGAUGAAAGAGGCCUCAGGAGAAGAACUUUUACUGGCAAGCUUCACAUCCAUCAGUGUUAAUUUCUGUUUUUACUGAGCUGUGGCGUGUACUGUAUAUGUAAAUGUGUGGCAGUGCGUUAAGCUGAUUGAGAUGUCAUUGUUGGAGGAGCCUGGGUGGUGGACUGGCUGAGCUGCAGACAUGGCUGAGGUAAUAUCUGGCUUUGAGCUCCAAGAUCAAUUUUAGCCAGUUGAGAACAAAAUGACAGGGGGGACAGUUAUUUAAUAUUAUAAUGAAAGUCAUGUCACUGAGGUUAAACUGCCUUAACACAGAAAGUACCCAGUUCCCUGCUUAGAGGUGGGGUCCAGCAUGGGAAAGGGAAGAGGUCGUAGAUAGAACUCUGAGGAAAAGAUUUCAUGCCCAAGGAAGAAGAUCCAAUCUAUAAAUAUGAUGGAGUGAUGGUGAAAAUCUGAAGGCACCCUGCCGAGCCGCAUUUCACAACUCUCUGAGGGGCCCUAUAGGGAGACUUCUCCCACUGUUCCUAUAGUAGCUGUAGCUCCACGCAUUUCACACCACCCCCUCUAACACACACAUAAGUGUUUCUACAGCCAAAUGCUGCAGGGCCUGGAUAUGUAGAUGCCAUCCCUGGUAUUUGAACUAAAAAUCUAAAUUUAAAGACUUUUUAAAAAACUGUUUACAGCUGAAGUUAUGGCACACGGACAGAAAUAGUUCACAGGAUGAAAUGUCACAAUAGUUUUAACCUUUAAAGGUUUAACGUUUUUCCAGGGAAAGUGAUUCUACACUUUAUGGAAAUAUGCUUAUAAUAUUAUGGAGAAUUAUGUUGCAAACUUCACAUUUUGGCCUAAAGGACAGACGAGACAUGGAACUGUAUAAUUCUUGGUCAAGAUUUGUAAAUUUACAGCAAUCUCUUCAUACUCAAGUUUUAGCCAUUAGACAAAGAAAUCCAUAAUAUGAGGAAUCAUAAAUUUCCACAGCAUUAUCCUCUGGGGAAAAUGAAUGUAUUUGUGAUAAUCUGACCAUGAGAAUUAUUUCUCCAUGUGGACAUUUUGGCCUUCUGAUAAAUGAGUCCCCCAGACGUUAUCAUACUUUAUUACAUAUGCACAGAAAUACCUAUAUGCUUGUGAAAUGCCAGAUGCCAAAUGUCUGGGGACCAUGAACACACCAAAUGAAAGUCCAGAAAUGAAAACAUAUCUUCUAAUGGGUGUGAGAGAGCGCCAAAACAAAAAAUAUAAAUGACGUUUCUUGCAGUGUGUUCCCAAAAAAUGACUUCUGGAAAUCAAAGGAUCUCUGCCGAUGAGCUCAAAAUGAUAGGAAUAUAUUUGUUCUAGAGCUGCGCAUGAAAAAUGCAGGAUCUAGGAGAGGAAGGUGCAGGGCGAGGGGCCACUCUGAAUUCAGAACAGGAACCAAACCACUGGAAGACCCCAACAGGAUUCCAGUGUGGGUUGCCAGGGCAACAUGAGCAGGAACUUUCAACCAUGACAGCCGAACUGCAUAAGACGAUCUGAGGAGCACGGAACAACGGGGAACAUGGGAGGGGGGAGUAAAAGAUGCGUAUUUACAGAAACAAAACUGGAAAAACAAUGAAGGCGUGCUGGGCAGAUUUUAGCACCGCAACAAAGACGGAGAAAGUUCUGAGACUGUCUGGGAUGCUCUGGUGGAGGGGGGGGGGCUUUGUUGUGAGCCGGAGCUUGCCAACUAGUUGUUUUGACUGUCGCUUGGUAACCAGAACCCCACAGCUCCAUCACACACACACACACACACACACACAGAAAGGCUUGUGUGCGACUCACGGAAGGCACAGAAGCGCAUACACAAC